Molecule: non-coding RNA, 352 nt
Organism: Phyllostomus discolor (pale spear-nosed bat)
Lineage: Eukaryota; Metazoa; Chordata; Mammalia; Chiroptera; Phyllostomidae
Source: the annotation of a RefSeq genome assembly
CAUGGCCUGGACUCCUGUCCUCCUGCUCCCCCUCCUCACCCUCUGCCCAGGGUCCAGGUCUCAGGCUGUGGUGACUCAGGAGCCCUCCCUGACUGUGUCCCCAGGAGGGACAGUCACUCUCACCUGUGCCUCCAGCACUGGAGCUGUCACCAGCAGUAACUAUCCAUACUGGAUCCAGCAGAAGUCUAGCCAAGGCCCCACGACACUGAUUUACCAUGCAAGCAGUAAACUCUCCUGGACCCCUGCCCGGUUCUCAGGCUCCCUCCUCAGGGGCAAAGCUGCCCUGACCCUGUCGGGGGGCCCAGCCUGAGGCCGAGGCCGAGUACUACUGUGGUCUGUGGUACGGCAACCA